UGCUGCUUCGCUGACGAGUGGCGGACGGGUGAGUAAUGUCUGGGAAACUGCCUGAUGGAGGGGGAUAACUACUGGAAACGGUAGCUAAUACCGCAUAACGUCGCAAGACCAAAGAGGGGGACCCCCGGGCCUCUUGCCAUCGGAUGUGCCCAGAUGGGAUUAGCUUGUUGGUGGGGUAACGGCUCACCAAGGCGACGAUCCCUAGCUGGUCUGAGAGGAUGACCAGCCACACUGGAACUGAGACACGGUCCAGACUCCUACGGGAGGCAGCAGUGGGGAAUAUUGCACAAUGGGCGCAAGCCUGAUGCAGCCAUGCCGCGUGUAUGAAGAAGGCCUUCGGGUUGUAAAGUACUUUCAGCGGGGAGGAAGGGAGUAAAGUUAAUACCUUUGCUCAUUGACGUUACCCGCAGAAGAAGCACCGGCUAACUCCGUGCCAGCAGCCGCGGUAAUACGGAGGGUGCAAGCGUUAAUCGGAAUUACUGGGCGUAAAGCGCACGCAGGCGGUUUGUUAAGUCAGAUGUGAAAUCCCCGGGCUCAACCUGGGAACUGCAUCUGAUACUGGCAAGCUUGAGUCUCGUAGAGGGGGGUAGAAUUCCAGGUGUAGCGGUGAAAUGCGUAGAGAUCUGGAGGAAUACCGGUGGCGAAGGCGGCCCCCUGGACGAAGACUGACGCUCAGGUGCGAAAGCGUGGGGAGCAAACA
Molecule: ribosomal RNA, 700 nt
Filed under: uncultured bacterium
Lineage: Bacteria
Description: bacterial SSU rRNA
Rfam family: Bacterial small subunit ribosomal RNA
Source: RNAcentral